RNAcentral lists this long non-coding RNA (360 nucleotides) under Rosa chinensis. RNAcentral describes it as "sRNA RchiOBHm_Chr3g0475831". Lineage: Eukaryota; Viridiplantae; Streptophyta; Magnoliopsida; Rosales; Rosaceae. The record is from RNAcentral.
CGGAGCCGUUCGAGAGCGGACGUCCGCAACCCAGAAAAAGUGCGGACGUCGCUCCUCUGGCCUCGAUUGACUGUCGAUGGCGCGGCGCGGCUUGCAGAAUGGACGCUGGGAGUCUGCGGUCUGGUGGAGUCGCCGGCGACCGUGCUGCAGCGCUACACAGAACCUGCAAUUGCAGGUGAGGUGGCUGCCCAGAAACCGGCAACCCCGACCUCCUCCGACCUCGAUCGCUGCCCAGAAGAGGUCUGGGAAGCCUCCGGCCUCCCUCGGGCCAGCCCCGGGCCGCCGUCGCGGCUUGAAACCGCCUGCUGCAUCGACGUCCGCGCUUUAGCGAAAGUGCGGAUGUCCGCCUGCGAUCGGGCC